This 3297-nucleotide long non-coding RNA is filed under the name Pomacea canaliculata. Its description in RNAcentral is "uncharacterized LOC112567780". The record is from RNAcentral. Lineage: Eukaryota; Metazoa; Mollusca; Gastropoda; Architaenioglossa; Ampullariidae.
GGUUCUUACAUGAUGUUGUACUUGCAGACACAGUCAAUGAAGCAAUUGACAACACUAUUGUCGGCGCUGUUAUUGGAGGCUUUGUGAUACUUUUAGUCGUUGGUGUUGGUAUUCUCCUUUGGAUUAAAAUGUGCAGAAAGCCAAGGCAAGGACCUGAAGGCAACAAUACCACGUCCGACUCUGUAGGAAAGACACCCCAAGAAACGACAACAUGUUUGACUGAGUCGGAGAAGAAUGACCACAGAAAAUGGACAUGUGUCGAGAAGCUCAGACAGCUGUGGUUUCCCGGAUCUUCAGCCUCGGGUUCAUCUGUAGUGUGACAAAGUGAAAUAUUAUACAACCUCACCACACAGUGAUAACUGUUAUGCUGAAUGUGCACUUUACUGUAGACUUCAGACAUUUGACCCCAUCAUGGGUAACGAAGUUUCCAGAAAAGUUCUUAGGCAAAGCACUAACUUGUGCACUCGUGAACCACGUGAUACAUCACAGGGCAAAUUCGUUCUAAGAGUCAUUUCAUACGCCCGAGACAGUGUUGACUUAUUGCGGGAUGAAUGUUUACACAAAUUGUAAAUAUUUAUGGAAAGUUGUGUUAGAAUGUUCCCUGGUUGUCAUGUGAUAACUUAAAUGGGGAAGUAACAGUUAGUGUCUAGGGUGAAGUGUUUACAAGCCUGAGGCCCAUCAUGUAGAAAAGGGAGGGUAUAUGCCAGUGUAGAUGUGUAAUCUGAGGUCGGAGCGCAAAAAUGGGAGACAGCAAUAAUUGUGGUUACAGCAGCCAAGCUCGACCAGCUUGCUGGCAGAGAUGUUAGUGACCUGUAUGAAGAGAGUGACACCUCAGGGACUCACCUGUUCGCCAGGUUGACGGGGAGUGGGCGUUAGUCACCUGUCUACCACGUCGGGGUGGAACUUCGAUAUGAUGCUGUCUUGUCGAUGCUGGCUACUUGAUUGGCUGGUGGGUGAGUGACGAAUGGCAUCCCUCGGUGUAUGUGUCGAGCGAAUGCACGAAGUAAAAUAUGGAACUGAGGACCAGCAGGACACUUCUCGGCACGACAUCAGAGCGGAUCAUCUGUCCAUCGAGACUAGACGGGACUCGGGAGGAGGGACGCUUGGGUUAGUCCUAUGUUCUCUGGUUCUUAGUUCACUUGAGCUCCUGUUGAGCUGACUCGGACGCCGACUACGAAACAAUCCUCAACAGACUUCAGCGAACACAUCAGUCAGGACCCUGGACUGUGUUGAAGGACUCAGGGCCGUGCUUAGGGGCAGGCGGACGAGGCAUCUGCCUAGGGCCCCGCGCUUUUGAUUGAUAUGGUAACUAGGCAUAUGGAAGUGUAGUCAGUCGUGGCGUGAGGGCCCCGCACAUGCCCUUUGCCUCGGGCCCCGCGGGGGCUAAGAACGGGCCUGGAAGGACUACACAGAAAGACAGAGCUGGCCCCGUAUAUGUGUAGACCCGAGAAGGGGUUUAAAAGGGUGUGUGUAGGUGUGAGCUAGGGAGAUUGCUUAUAAGAUAUACGGUAAUUCGUGUGUAUAUAUAUAUAUAAUUUUUAAAUAUCUCAAUAGCCUUGAAAGGGUGAAAAAAUAAAGAUUCUUCAAUCAUAGGUUUCAGAAACUGGCGACACCCUGAAAAACAUGAACUAAGGUCAUAGUUCAAGACAUAAGAGAUGAACCAAGUAGAGCUAGAUUACACAAAAUAUUUCUUCAAGAAUUUUUGAAGACUAAGUAAAAGGUUAUGAAAUGAAAUCCCACAAAUACAAGCACUGGUUAAAGAUGUCAAAUGCUGUAUUUGUCUGUCCAUGAUAGAAACAGUUUGAACACUAUUGCCCAUGUUAGCUGUAAGAUCAUUGGUAUCAAGCAGAGGAAUUUGGGUUUUUGUUACAAUUAGUAAAUUGUCAGGAAAUUGGCAUUUAGUGAUGUCUAAAUAUGUCGCUGCAAGAGAACUUGUUUUAUUAAAUUCAGGCAAACCUUAUGCUAUGCCAAAAUGCAGAAUCAAUAUAUAUAUAUACAAAAACAUUUCCUUUAUCAUUUCAACUGCUGAAUAGAAAGUGAAAGAUGUGUAUGUGUGUGUGUGUGUGCGAAGGGUGUGGUGUUAGAUGUAGGAAUUACUUUUUUAUCAAGCCAAUCAUUCUUUUACAAUGUUUCACUUUGUUUUGUAUGUGAGCACUUGCUUUGAAACUUAACGAUUUCUAAUUAACAUCUGGCAUUAAUAAUGUUUGUUAUUUGUCAAUUUCAUAAUAUUUUGUGUGUUUAAAUAACUAUGUUCAGUUAAUGUAUUCACCAGUUUUCAACAUAAACUACAAUGUUGCCCUCUCCAAAUGCCACUCUGUGUUUAGCAUGUGUGUAGACACUUUGUAAAUGCAAUGAACUCCUCCAUCGAGAGAAGCUUGGUGUGUGUGUGUAUACUAUAUAGUCCCUUGCUUUCAAAUCGUUAAAUAAUACAUCAUCUGUGUUAUCAGUGUAAUGAUGUAACGAAUUCAGUACAACCUUUGUCUGAACUCAGGAUAUAUUUGUAAAUAUUUACAUUUCAAUUUCUUCAUUUGUCUUUGCAUUCAGGGGACUUCACUGUGCCAACCCACAAGCAUUCACCUUUUGUGCGAUGACUCCCCAUAAAAUCUUUUUUUUGGGGUCACAGUGUCACUGCUAUUACAAAAUAAAACACGGUGAUUAAUGGUGAUCUCUACAAGCAAUGUUGAAACACUAAAGUUUAAUGUAUGUUCUGUAAAUUACCUCCCCUCUUCAAAGACGUGUCUACAGGCGAAAGAGAAGCAUAAUUUUAUCUCUAUGAGCACUUUAAAUAUAUAAAAAGCCUAUCUCCUAUAAAUAUAAAUGUUUUGGAAUCUGAUGGUUGUCACAGAUCGUGAAAUAUAUUUCCCGUUAAAUAGGCUUCUAAGUUUCCUUUUGAAAUCUAUGAAUAAAGAGUACAAAUGAACCAGUCCUGUGGGUUUGUGUAAUAGUAGUACUGAGUAACUUUUUUGUCCUCGCAAAAUCGGACGUCUGAAUGUCACAUCAAAAAUGUAAUUAUAUAGAACUAGAUGAGCAGUUAUCUUUUAAACUACAUUUAUGGACACUUCAUGUCACACACUUUCAACAAAAAUAUUCAGAAAAACAAGAACAUUGAAAUUAAAUUACUUCCCCUCCUUAAUGGCCAAUUUAAGGAUCGAGAUUUUGUCACAGUCUGCUAAGCUUUAGAAUUUUCAGUAGUACAAUAUUUUUAUCUAUAAUGUAGCACGACCAUUAUAAAAGAAGAAAGGUAAUAUUAGUGACAUGUUUGUCAUUGGUUACAUUCAUUAUUCGUAUACUAUUAAU